UGUUUUGUAGGUGCAGUUUUGUCAAAGAUCAAGGAGGAAGAAAUUUGCAUCCACAAAUUGGUGCUUUCAUUGAGAGAAGAAAUCCACACUCGUACAAGACUUUCGCAUAAAAAAAGAUACAGAUCAAUAACUUGAGUAAUGUUGUGGAUGAGUUUCUAAGUUUUGAAACCGGCAUCGGAAAUGUUCUUUGAACGACAAAGUUCACUCAAGAAGUUCAUUGGUGAACCAGGAGACCCAGCACCGACUGUCGAUGGGACCCCAAGCUGAGCUGCUUCCUGUGCACAUUACUGGUCCUUCUGAAACAUAAAAAAUUUAGAGAAAAAUCAUCCAAAUUGCAAGAAGCAAUCACAGUACGAUUCCUGAAUGAUGCAUGCUUAACUGAGAGUAUGCAUCAAAUUUUGAUAGAUCUACAGAUGGAUCAUUGAAGCAAUGCAUGGCAGCUGCCCAACCUGCAUUUGAAGACAUGCAAUUAUAACCAAACCUCAUGCAAGUAACACCAAAAAAGAAAAAAAAAAACCCUCUGUUAUUAAUCUUUAGUUAAUCAUGUACAAAGUCCCAGCAAUUUUUCACGCAUAAAGAAUUUUUAGUCCAAGCUCCAAAGAAAAUACUCUUAGGUCAACUAAUGAUAAUCUUUACCUUCUUUGUAACUUUCUGAAAAGUCAAAAGAAACGUGGGUGGGGGGGUUCAGGGGCUUGCAUCCCUAUUUUCACCUUUAACUUUUUGUAAAUGGUAAUCGGAGAAAGGAAUCGCCAGCAAGAAUUUAAAUGUACAACCUAAACCCUAAACCCUCAACAGCUGUCCCUGCUUUAUGGAAAUGAACUUUAAUUUCACUACUUCAUUUGUAUAAAAAUACUAACAAUAUGA
Long non-coding RNA from Malus domestica (apple), 864 nucleotides. RefSeq lists it as uncharacterized. The record is from RefSeq and is a predicted model, not a curated record. NCBI's taxonomy places the organism in Eukaryota, Viridiplantae, Streptophyta, Magnoliopsida, Rosales, Rosaceae.